This 833-nucleotide ribosomal RNA is filed under the name Salmonella enterica. Its description in RNAcentral is "partial 23S ribosomal RNA". It matches the Rfam family "Bacterial large subunit ribosomal RNA", at positions 353 to 1190 of the family's 2925-position model. The record is from RNAcentral. Lineage: Bacteria; Pseudomonadati; Pseudomonadota; Gammaproteobacteria; Enterobacterales; Enterobacteriaceae.
CGCGAUACAGGGUGACAGCCCCGUACACAAAAGCGCAUGUGCUGUGAGCUCGAUGAGUAGGGCGGGACACGUGAUAUCCUGUCUGAAUAUGGGGGGACCAUCCUCCAAGGCUAAAUACUCCUGACUGACCGAUAGUGAACCAGUACCGUGAGGGAAAGGCGAAAAGAACCCCGGCGAGGGGAGUGAAAAAGAACCUGAAACCGUGUACGUACAAGCAGUGGGAGCACCCUUUUGGGUGUGACUGCGUACCUUUUGUAUAAUGGGUCAGCGACUUAUAUUCUGUAGCAAGGUUAACCGAAUAGGGGAGCCGGAGGGAAACCGAGUCUUAACCGGGCGUUAAGUUGCAGGGUAUAGACCCGAAACCCGGUGAUCUAGCCAUGGGCAGGUUGAAGGUUGGGUAACACUAACUGGAGGACCGAACCGACUAAUGUUGAAAAAUUAGCGGAUGACCUGUGGCUGGGGGUGAAAGGCCAAUCAAACCGGGAGAUAGCUGGUUCUCCCCGAAAGCUAUUUAGGUAGCGCCUCGUGAAUUCAUCUCCGGGGGUAGAGCACUGUUUCGGCUAGGGGGCCAUCCCGGCUUACCAACCCGAUGCAAACUGCGAAUACCGGAGAAUGUUAUCACGGGAGACACACGGCGGGUGCUAACGUCCGUCGUGAAGAGGGAAACAACCCAGACCGCCAGCUAAGGUCCCAAAGUCAUGGUUAAGUGGGAAACGAUGUGGGAAGGCCCAGACAGCCAGGAUGUUGGCUUAGAAGCAGCCAUCAUUUAAAGAAAGCGUAAUAGCUCACUGGUCGAGUCGGCCUGCGCGGAAGAUGUAACGGGGCUAAACCAU